AUACGGAGGGUCCAAGCGUUAUCCGGAAUCAUUGGGUUUAAAGGGUCCGCAGGCGGUCAAUUAGGUCAGAGGUGAAAGCCCAUCGCUCAACGAUGGAACUGCCUUUGAUACUGGUUGACUUGAGUUAUACGGAAGUAGAUAGAAUAAGUAGUGUAGCGGUGAAAUGCAUAGAUAUUACUUAGAAUACCGAUUGCGAAGGCAGUCUACUACGUAUAUACUGACGCUGAGGGACGAAAGCGUGGGGAGCGAACAGGAUUAGAAACCCCGGUAGUCC
This 274-nucleotide ribosomal RNA is filed under the name uncultured bacterium. RNAcentral's name for it is "partial 16S ribosomal RNA". It matches the Rfam family "Bacterial small subunit ribosomal RNA", at positions 523 to 796 of the family's 1533-position model. The record is from RNAcentral.